GUACUUGACUGGCAGGGAGAGACCAUGAUCAUGAAGGUGGUUUUCCCAGGGUAAGGCUUAUCAAUUGCACUCCAGAUGUGCUGACCCCUGCAAUUUCCCCAAAUUUGAGAAACUCGACUGCAUAAUUUGUGAUGGGGACUGCAUUCAUAUUCUCCCCUU
Small nuclear RNA from Peromyscus maniculatus bairdii (prairie deer mouse), 159 nucleotides. Its record names the gene U1. It matches the Rfam family "U1 spliceosomal RNA". Rfam says of the family: U1 is a small nuclear RNA (snRNA) component of the spliceosome (involved in pre-mRNA splicing). Lineage: Eukaryota; Metazoa; Chordata; Mammalia; Rodentia; Cricetidae. The record is from Ensembl.